Molecule: non-coding RNA, 1763 nt
Organism: Zonotrichia albicollis (white-throated sparrow)
Lineage: Eukaryota; Metazoa; Chordata; Aves; Passeriformes; Passerellidae
Source: RefSeq, a predicted model, not a curated record
ACACCUGUGAAGUGUUUGUCCAACUGCACAAUGUACUUGAUGAGAAGGAGUCCCAUUUAUUCCAAGUUUUACCCAGAGCUGUGGGAAUGAUAAACAUGCUUUGCAGGAAAGAACAGCACAGUGGGAAGCUCCCAUCAUCUGAAUUAAUACACCAAUUAUGAACUGUGUUGGAAGUAAACAGUUUGAUCAUUUCUGUACCUUAUGCUGAAAGCUAAAGUGCCUCAUUAAGACAAGAACUGAAGUCUCAUUGCAUAUUUUAGCUGUCCAUGUACUUGUGAUGAGAAAGUUCAGUGAUAAAUCUGGCAACUGCUCACUCCUCCAUGGGCAACUAUUCGUUCUGAAUGAAACAUUAAACAGAGUUUUUGACAUGCUCAAAUAUUUCAACAGCUCCAUUGCUAAUUAUUUAUGGCAAGAGAGUUAAUAUUGCUCUUCACAGUAGCAGUGACUUUUCAGGAUUUAGGGUGGGGGACUUAUUUGACAGUAUGAUUAUUUGCAACCUUGAAAAUGAGAAUAUUCUUUCUUAGAGUGGUCAGGGGUGCCUGUAAGGGUAGUUAGAUAGAAGUCAUCAUGAUGUCCAAAGUAUAUGCCAAAUGAGUGCCAUCAAACAUAGAAAAAUGUCCCAAUUUAGAGUAGUUUGUAAAAUGACUGCAAAGUGACAUAGUUGUUUGUGUGUGUAUAUUAAUUAUUGAGAGGGCAAAAUAAAUUAAAGCAGCCCUUCACCAGGAUAAUAUAGCCAGUAGGGGAUCAGAUAAGAAGAAAAUAAACUUCUGUAAUUGAUAUUUUUUCUAAUCAAGGAGUGGAAACCAAAGAUUGGAUCUAUGUUUUAUGUGUCAGAAAAGAACUGGUGCCCCCUAAAGAAGCCCCCUUACUACUCUUUCACUUUAGUCUCCAUCCACCAGUGUGUGCCAAGAACCACCCUGCUGGAGAACUGCUUGGCAGAAAAGGACCUGGGGUUCUGUUGGAGCCCAAGUUCAAAAUGAGCCAGCAAUGUCUCCUUCCCUUGAAGGUGGCUGGUGGGAGCAUCAUUGCCAGCAGAUCAAAGGAAAGGUGAUUCUCCCCCUCUGCUCACUGCUGAUGAGGCCACAACUGGAUGCUGUGUGCAGUGUUGGAUUCCCCAGUGUGAGAGAGCUCAGGAACUGCUGGAGAGAUCCUUAUAAAGGGCUGCAAAGGCAUUACAAGGCUGGAGGAUCUGUUCUAUCAGGAAAGGCUGAGUGAGCUGGGACUGUGCAACCUGCAGAAGAGAAGGCUCAGGGGAAUCUGUCAAAGUGUAUAAAUAUCUGAAGAGAGUGUGCAAAGAAAACAAAGCCAGCUCUUUUCAGUGCUGUCCAGUGACAUUACCAGUGGCAAUGGGCACAAAAAGGAAACACAGGAGGCUCUACCAGAGCAUCAGGAAACACCCUCUUGACUGUGAGGGUGACCAAACACUGGCACAGAUUGCCCACUGGGGUUGUGGUGUCUCCAUCCUUGGAGAUCCUCAGGAGCUGUCUGGAACUGGUUAUAGGUGGCCACGCUUGAGAAGGGGGUUUGGGUCACAUCCCCUCCAUAGGUACCUUCCAACCCCAAUCAUUCUGUGGCCCUGUGAUGGCUAUCCACAUUAAAUUGAAUAAUAAAAUUCUGUCUGUACCAAGAAAAAUAUUAAAAAACCCAGGUCCAUAAAGAGUGCAAACACUGUUUAUGUUUCACAGAAGCUCUUACUCAGCAGUCUUCUAUUCUAUAUAUAAUUACAUAUACAAAAAUAAGAAAGAUGCAUUUAAUAAUAUAUG